GCAAAUGAAAGCAGUACAAAUGAAAUAUACGAAGUAAUAAGCAUAUGAAAAGUGAUCCCCUCUCUCCCUCUCUCUCUCUCUCUCUCUCUCUCUCUCUCUCUCAAUCUUUCUGAGACUCGAAGCAUUACGUUUCUCUCUCUAGAAGACUGUCAUUCACAGAACCAGGGUUUUGAAGCAUCGUUUGAGAAUUUGGGAUGGAGAAUGCGGCCGGGAUUUUUGUUGAUAACUCAAAUAUGCCAGAGGAAAAAAGUGUGGAAGUUGGCGUUUCUGAGGAGAGGAUAGAGGAGAAGGCAGUUUUGGGGUCUGAUGGAUUGAAUGAAUUAGAAGGGGAGGAGGUUUUUGAGGAGGCAAUGGAUGUCCAGGAACAUUUACAGGAGCAAGGGACGAAAGCUAGUUUUUGGGAUGAUGCUGUUGUAGGUGAAAAUAGGAAGUCGGAGACGAUUAAUGAUUUGGGUUUGGAAGGGGUUGAUAAGAGUCCUUCUGGUGGUCAUGAGUUUGAGAAGUUCGAAGAGGCAAUUGGGGUUCUGAUUGAGGUUGGAAAACAUGAGGAAGAGGACGAGGCAGUUGUGAUUAAUGAAGGGAAAGUAAGAGAUUUGGUUGGUGGGAACAGUGUUGAUGGAACUGAAAUGACAAGUGGGAUUGAUGAUGGUGGGACUGAUAUAAAACCAAUGACCAAUGAAGUGAAUGGAUCGGAUGAUGGAUUGGUUGUCAGCAGAGAUGAUGGGGGGAAGGAGAAUUUCGAGAUUGGUGCUAAUGGAGAAAUAGAAGCUACCAAAAGUGGGGACAAGAUUGAUAUAAAGGAUGAAAUUCACCUAGAAACUGCAUCCACUAUGGAGAUUCUGGAGAAAGCUACUAGUGUCCAGGAAUUAGAUAUAAAUACCUUGGUCACUGAAGGUCAAGAUGGCGGGAAAGGGGAGCUGCAAAACGCCUCAUCUAGUCCUAGUUUGAAGCUACAUGAUGAUAAGGGCAUGAAAAGGGAUGAAGAAAACAUCUAUAGUGAAUAUCGGGAACUUGAUAGCAAUGAAUUGAAAAAUGUUACAGUUAGUGUUGAUGCGAUACAUGGUGAGGAUAAUAGUUUGGAGCUGAGUAAUACUAAUAGAGACCAUAAAGAUUACAGAAAUGGGGAUGUGAAAGAAGAUGCUGCUGAUGGACUGCUUUUGGAGCAUGAUGGGGAAUCUGGAGAAAUGAAGAACACGUUAUCUGACCUACAGACAUCUGUUGAGGAAAGGUCAGUAAAAUCAGAUAUUGGUGACCCACUUUCUCUUGACAAGUCUACAAUUGAGAAAGCGCAGGUUAUCCAGGCUAGUGUUGCAGACUCGAGAGUGGAGAAUGACAAGGAUUUUGAAUCUCAGAAAGUUGUUGACAAGGCUCGUGAAGUAAGCAAUGAUGAUGCUAUUGCUAAGGGACUAGAAAAAGAAGAUGGAAAAAAUCCAGAAGCGCAGACAACUACUCAAGUGAAAAGGGUCCAGGAGAUUCAGCAAGCACAAGAACAUGCAUCAUCAUCUGCAAAAUCUACUGAUUCUGCACCUGCUCCUGCUCCUGCUCCUGCUCGUCCAGCUGGCUUAGGGCGUGCUGCCCCACUAUUGGAACCUGCACCUCGGGUGGUGCAGCAGCCUCGGGUAAAUGGUACUCUGUCUCAUAUGCAAAACCAGCAACUUGAGGAGCCUGUUAAUGGUGAUCCUGAGGAGCAUGGUGAAACUCGUGAGCAACUCCAAAUGAUAAGGGUGAAAUUUUUGCGGCUUGCUCAUAGGCUUGGGCAGACUCCUCAUAAUGUUGUUGUGGCUCAGGUUCUGUAUAGACUGGGGUUAGCUGAGCAGCUGCGUGGGAGAAAUGGGGGCCGUGUUGGUGCAUUUAGUUUUGAUCGUGCAAGUGCCAUGGCAGAGCAGCUUGAGGCCGCAGGGAAUGAACCCCUUGAUUUUUCUUGCACAAUUAUGGUUCUUGGAAAGACAGGGGUUGGUAAAAGUGCGACAAUCAAUUCCAUAUUUGAUGAAGUGAAAUUUGGCACUGAUGCUUUCCAGACGGGUACUAAGAGGGUUCAGGAUGUUGUGGGAACUGUGCAAGGGAUUAAGGUAAGGGUUAUUGAUACUCCAGGCCUUCUAUCGUCGUGGUCUGAUCAACGUCAAAAUGAGAAGAUUCUUCACUCUGUUAAGCGCUUUAUUAAGAAAACACCUCCAGAUAUUGUGUUGUAUCUUGAUAGGCUGGACAUGCAAAGCAGGGAUUUUAGUGAUAUGCCUCUCUUGCGUACUAUAACAGAGAUAUUUGGACCUUCUAUAUGGUUUAAUGCAAUUGUGGUACUGACUCAUGCUGCAUCUGCUCCACCUGAGGGCCCAAAUGGUACCGCUUCUAGUUAUGACAUGUUUGUCACUCAACGUUCUCAUGUUGUUCAGCAAGCCAUCCGUCAGGCAGCUGGUGAUAUGCGACUGAUGAAUCCUGUUUCAUUAGUGGAGAAUCACUCGGCAUGUAGAACAAAUAGGGCUGGGCAAAGAGUGUUGCCAAAUGGUCAGGUUUGGAAGCCGCAUUUGCUGCUGCUAUCUUUUGCAUCAAAAAUUCUAGCAGAAGCUAAUGCACUUUUGAAGUUGCAAGAUACUCCACCUGGAAAGCCUUAUUCAACUCGAUCUAGGGCACCUCCUUUACCUUUCCUUCUUUCAUCCCUGCUUCAAUCAAGACCACAAUUGAAGCUGCCCGAAGAGCAGUUUGGUGAUGAUGAUAGUGUAGAUGAUGAUCUAGAUGAAUCAUCAGAUUCUGAUGAUGAAUCAGAAUUUGAUGAGUUGCCGCCAUUUAAACGUUUGACCAAAGCCCAGCUGGCAAAGCUUUCCAAAGCUCAAAAGAAGGCGUAUUUUGAUGAAUUAGAGUAUAGGGAAAUGCUUUUCAUGAAGAGGCAAUUGAAAGAAGAGAGAAAGCGGCGAAAGUUGAUGAAAAAGAUGGCAGCUGCAGCAAAGGAUAUGCCAAGUGAUUAUGGUGAAAAUACAGAGGAAGAAAGUGCUGGUGCUGCAUCUGUUCCUGUUCCGAUGCCAGAUUUGGCCUUACCUGCUUCAUUUGAUUCUGAUAAUCCUACUCACCGCUAUCGCUAUCUUGAUUCUUCCAACCAGUGGCUUGUGAGGCCUGUUCUAGAAACUCAUGGUUGGGAUCAUGAUGUUGGUUAUGAAGGAAUAAAUGUUGAGCGAUUGUUUGUCGUGAAAGGCAAAAUACCCUUAUCCUUUUCUGGGCAAGUUACGAAGGAUAAGAAGGAUGCCAAUGUCCAAAUGGAAGUGGCAAGCUCAUUAAAGCAUGGAGAAGGCAAAGCAACUUCCUUAGGUUUUGAUAUGCAAACUGUUGGGAAGGAUUUGGCUUAUACGCUAAGAAGUGAGACAAAGUUUGCUAAUUUUAGGAAGAACAAGGCAACCGCUGGUAUCUCAGUUACUCUUUUAGGUGAUUCCUUGUCAGCUGGACUGAAAAUGGAAGACAAAUUAAUUGCCAACAAACGGUUCCAAUUGGUUGUGACUGGUGGUGCGAUGACUGGUCGAGGUGAUAUUGCUUGUGGUGGGAGCCUGGAGGCCCAGUUGAGAGAUAAAGAUUAUCCUCUGGGUCGUUCACUGUCAACUCUUGGACUUUCUAUCAUGGAUUGGCAUGGUGAUCUAGCUAUUGGAUGCAACAUACAAUCCCAGAUUCCAGUUGGGCGCUAUUCUAAUUUGAUUGCUCGUGCCAAUUUGAAUAAUAGAGGGGCUGGACAAGUUAGCAUUCGCUUAAAUAGCUCAGAACAGCUUCAAAUAGCUUUGGUGGGUCUUGUUCCUCUACUCAGAAAGUUACUCAGUUAUCAUCAGCAACCGCAGUUAGGGCAAUGAUGAAGGUUCGGUCAUAUAUGUGCUGUAGCAGCUUUGUGGUAAUAGGUCAUCAUCAAAGUGAAUGUGGCAUCUGUUGAUGGUCAUCACCAGAAGCCCUCAACCGUCCGUAGAGAAAUGGUCCCAGGGGAUUUGAUAGCCUCAUCCCUUGUGAUGGGGAAAUAGCUGUAUGUAUUUGUUGCCUUUUGGUCCUCAGUUGCAGUGUCCAGUUUCCAAGUUUCACGAAAAGAGAAUCUUGUGCACUUGAAGUGAAAGCUACUUUUUUUAAAUGAUUAGAAAAGGCCAUUUGGAAUGCUCUACCUAGUAGAGGCCCAAGGAUUUGUAAUUUUGGAGUGUCAGCAUCUUCCGGAUCUAUGUUAUUGUCAUACUUGGAUUCAUUACUGAUGUUGAAUUCUCAUAAAUUAUUGAAAAGCAUAGCGGGCCUUCAAAACAUUACAAAAUUACAGUCAACUUGUGGUUUUUUCUCUAAUGAUUUUUUUAAUGAAGUAAAUCGACUUCUAUUAUUAUUGCUUAUGUAAAGAGUAUAAAAUAUCUUAGUCAACACUCAACUGUAAACUUUCUUGGAUUGGGCCGAAAGGUAAAAGGCUUUAUUUAUUUA
Ziziphus jujuba (common jujube) is the source of this 4416-nucleotide RNA transcript. It is a transcript of the gene named translocase of chloroplast 120, chloroplastic, with no coding region annotated. The transcript is spliced from 3 exons. NCBI's taxonomy places the organism in Eukaryota, Viridiplantae, Streptophyta, Magnoliopsida, Rosales, Rhamnaceae. The record is from RefSeq and is a predicted model, not a curated record.